UGCGGCCUGAAGAUGCCUGAGGCCCGGACUCUCAGACCCCUAUUGCCCUUUGGUGCUGGAGGCCCAGCGGCAGCCUGAAGCCCAAGAGAGUGGAGCCUCGCGAAAUGAGGAACCUGGCACAAGGAUUUCACCAUGUUGGCCGUGCUGGUCUUGAACUCCUGACCUCAAGUGAUUUGCCUGCUUUGGCCUCCCAAAGUGCUGGGAUUACAGACAUGAGUCACCAUGCCCUGCCUGCAGCUUCUUCUUGAAGUGUUCUGGACUUGGAAGAUUUGUUGAAUUACUAUGAAGUCACAUCUAAAGUUUGAAAGAGAUCGGGUCUCACUAUUUUGCCCACGCUGGUCUUGAACUCCUGUCCUCAAGCAGGAUAUCCUCCUGCCUUGGCCUCCCAAAGUUCUGGGAUUACAGUCUCGCUCUGUCGCCAGGCUGGAGUGCACGCUGGAGCGCGAUCUUGUCUUACUACAACCUCUGCCUCCCAGAUUCAAGCGAUUUUCCUGCCUCAGCCUCCCGAGUAGCUGGGACUACAGGGACGCACCACCAUGCCCAGCUAAUUUUUGUAUUUUUAGUAGAGAUGUGGUUUCACCAUGUUGGCCAGGAUGGUCUUGAUCUCUUGACCUCGUGAUCCACCCGCCUCGGCUUCCCAAAGUGCUGGGAUUAUAGGCAUAAGCCACCACGCCUGGCCUGAAAUUAUUUUUCUAUACAGUUCUUAGAGGAAGUGUUUGGGUCACCUACAUAGGCAUGUAGUUCUUGACACUGGUUACUAGAGGAUUUAUAGAGGAUGUUCAUAUAUUCAACAAGCAUUUGUUGAAUACCUAUUAGGUGCUAGCCAUGGAAAUAUGGGAUUGAAAAAAACAGACAAAAAUCCCUAAUCUCUCUUACAAUCUAGUGAGGACAAUCAGACAGUACACAAAAUAAGCAUAAUAUAUAGUAAUCAUGUGGUAGUAAGUUCUAUAGAGCAAAAACAAGUUUAAAGAAGGAGGUUGGGGGGAGUGUUGAGAUGCAUAAGGUUUGCAGUUAUAAAUGUGGUGGUUAGGGAAUCAUUUGCUGAAAAAUGAACAUUGAGCAAAAACCUGAAGGAUGUUAAAGGAAUAAGAUACAUGUAAUCCAGAUGAAAGUUUUUUGGAUAAAGGAAAGAGCAAUUGCUAAAUCCCUGAGGUGGGAGUGGGCUGUUCAUAAGACAGCAAAGCAGCCAGGGUAGCUGAGUGAUUGACAGCGGAAGAUGGAAAAUGGGGAAUAGUUGGUGUAGGACCUAGUUGUGAGGAUAUUGACUUUGUUUUUUUUCCAAGACAGAGCUGUGCUCUGUCGCCCAGGCUAGAGUGCAGUGGCAUGAUCUUGGCUCACUGCAAUCUCCGCCUCCCGGGUUCAAGCAAUGCUCCUGCCUUAGCCUCCCCAGUAGCUGGGAUUACAGGCACCUGCCACCAUGUCCAAUUAAUUUUUGUAUUUUUAGUAGAGAUGGGGUUUCGCCAUGUUAGCCAGGCUGGUCUUGGACUCCUGACCUCAAGUGAUCUGCCCGCCUCAGCCUCCCAAAGUGCUGGGAUUACAGGCGUGAGCCACCAUGCCCACCCUAGGAUAUUUACUUUUAUUUUGAAUAAGGAUGCCACUGGAGGCCAGACGUGGUGGCUAACGCCUAUAAUCCCAGCACUUUGGGAGGACGAGGCGGGUGGAUCACGAGGUUAGGAGAUUGAGACCAUCCUGGCCAACAUGGUGGAACCCCGUCUCUACUAAAAAAAAAAAAAAAAUUAGCCAGGUGUGGUUGCAUGCGCCUGUAGUCCCAGCAACUCAGGAGGCUGAGGAAGGAGAAUCACUUGAACCCGGGAGGUGGAGGUUGCAGUGAGCCGAGAUCGCCCCACUGUACUCCAGCCUGGGUGACAGAGCAAGACUCUGUCUCAAAAAAAAAAAAAAAAAAAAAUGCCACUGGAGAGCUUUGAGGAGAGGAUCAGUCUGGCUACUGGGUUGGGAAUUAAUCAUAGCAGGCAAAGGCAAAAGAAGUGAGGUUAGUUAGGAGGCUUUACAACAACCCAGAUGAGAGAUGGGAGGUUUUAGCCAGGGAGAUGGAGAUGUUGAGAGAGUAGCUGGACUCAGGAUUGUGACAGUGGACUGAAGGAAAAGCAGGUUUUGGGGGAAGAUUGCAUUUCUCCCUUCAACUUCAGUUACGUAGAUCACCCAUAUGCCACACAACUGCAACUCUGUAACAGCCAAUUUUUAGCUUCUUCCUUAUCUAAGCCAUCCUGUAGGCCAUAGGAAUUAAAACUAGGUUGGAUCAAGGAAAAGUGAAUGCUAGAUCCAUACAAAACUAUUUGGAUAUUUGCCUUUGUAUUUUAUUGUUUUGAAAUUAUUUUUAAUGGUUCAAUAAACUCUUACUAGAACUACAAGCAAUAUAAUUAUUUCCUCUGCUUUAUUAGAAAUGUUUUUGUAAUCAUGUUAAUUAUAUUACUUUUAACUAUAUAAGGCUUGUGUCUCUUUUUUAUAAAUUGAUGUUUAUAUCCUCUGUAAGAUAAAUAUAAAGGCUUUUUGUUCAUAUGAGGAUGUGCUGUAAGAUUGCAGGGAGUAUAAAAAUUGGCAAUGGAGUAGGUGACUUGUAUUAUUAGUCUGAUCUUAAUGUUGUAACAUACUGAUCAUGCAAAAUAUAUAAUUAGUUUGUUUUUGCUAUUUAAUAUGUGUAGGACUGUAACAAACAGACUAGAGAAGAUGGCCAUAAGUUACAAGAAAGCAAGUAAAUUACUAUCUAAUUAAAAGUAUUUGAUUCUAAUACUAGCAGAGUUCUGUCUAGAAAAUAAAUUAACUUUCUGUAUGCUUUUUUUGGUCUCAAUUUUCCAAUAAUUUCCCUCAACUCUG
RNAcentral lists this long non-coding RNA (2832 nucleotides) under Homo sapiens (human). RNAcentral describes it as "HSALNT0295650". The record is from RNAcentral. Lineage: Eukaryota; Metazoa; Chordata; Mammalia; Primates; Hominidae.